This 600-nucleotide ribosomal RNA is filed under the name uncultured Anaplasma sp. RNAcentral describes it as "bacterial SSU rRNA". It matches the Rfam family "Bacterial small subunit ribosomal RNA", at positions 852 to 1448 of the family's 1533-position model. Lineage: Bacteria; Pseudomonadati; Pseudomonadota; Alphaproteobacteria; Rickettsiales; Anaplasmataceae. The record is from RNAcentral.
CCGCCGUAAUGAGGCACUCCGCCUGGGGACUACGGUCGCAAGACUAAAACUCAAAGGAAUUGACGGGGACCCGCACAAGCGGUGGAGCAUGUGGUUUAAUUCGAUGCAACGCGAAAAACCUUACCACUCCUUGACAUGGAGAUUAGAUCCUUCUUAACGGAAGGGCGCAGUUCGGCUGGAUCUCGCACAGGUGCUGCAUGGCUGUCGUCAGCUCGUGUCGUGAGAUGUUGGGUUAAGUCCCGCAACGAGCGUAACCCUCAUCCUUAGUUGCCAGCGGGUUAAGCCGGGCACUUUAAGGAAACUGCCAGUGGUAAACUGGAGGAAGGUGGGGAUGAUGUCAAGUCAGCACGGCCCUUAUGGGGUGGGCUACACACGUGCUACAAUGGUGACUACAAUAGGUUGCAAUGUCGCAAGGCUGAGCUAAUCCGUAAAAGUCAUCUCAGUUCGGAUUGUCCUCUGCAACUCGAGGGCAUGAAGUCGGAAUCGCUAGUAAUCGUGGAUCAGCAUGCCACGGUGAAUACGUUCUCGGGUCUUGUACACACUGCCCGUCACGCCAUGGGAAUUGGCUUAACUCGAAGCUGGUGCGCUAACCGAAAGGAA